GUAUCACAUAGAAGUGCAGAGAGAAAUGCUGGAGAGGGAGGAGAGAAUGAGGUGAAAUACACUGAAAAUGACAGGAUGAUGAAGGAGCAGGACCAACAACAGCAGAGGGAACUGUUCGAGAGGCUGCUUAGCCUGAGGGCCAGAAGGCAGCAGAUUCCAGUACCUGCCUCUGCACACUGACUGCUCUGGUGCAGCAAUCUCCAAUGGACACUGCUCCACAUUACUACAUCCUGCAGCCACUGGAUAAUUGUGGGUGGGCAAUGAGCCAGUCUAUGCACUCCUGGAAUGGAAGUAUGGUGACAAGCCACUGCCAAAAUGCCCUCCGCCAUGUCUCAUGGCCUGUAGCUGCCUCCUGUUGAAAUGAGAGUUGCAUUAAUGCCAAAAGCUGGAACGGGUCACCAUCCUGAGCUAAAUCCAUGCCUUACUACCAGCUGGAAUGGAUUUUCUUGAUUAAAAAAUGAGAGUAAACUUUGGCACUUUCCAUAAAUUCAGAUGAUUUGAUAAAAUAUUUCUUGUUUUCUCAAGUUUACAUAUCCCAAGCUUUCACUGUUGCUAUGGGGCAGGUUGGAGCAGAGAUGAAAAUAAAUCUGUGUCAUUUA
Molecule: long non-coding RNA, 599 nt
Organism: Mauremys mutica (yellowpond turtle)
Lineage: Eukaryota; Metazoa; Chordata; Testudines; Geoemydidae
Exons: 2
Source: RefSeq, a predicted model, not a curated record